This 375-nucleotide ribosomal RNA is filed under the name uncultured bacterium. RNAcentral describes it as "bacterial SSU rRNA". It matches the Rfam family "Bacterial small subunit ribosomal RNA", at positions 521 to 896 of the family's 1533-position model. The record is from RNAcentral.
UAAUACGUAGGCAGCGAGCGUUGUUCGGAGUUACUGGGCGUAAAGGGUGUGUAGGCGGUUUUCUAAGUUUGGUGUGAAAUCUCCCGGCUCAACCGGGAGGGUGCGCCGAAAACUGGGAGACUAGAGUGCGGGAUGGGAGAGUAGAAUUCCUGGUGUAGCGGUGAAAUGCGUAGAUAUCAGGAGGAAUACCGGUGGUGUAGACGGCUCUCUGGACCGCCACUGACGCUGAGACACGAAAGCGUGGGUAGCAAACAGGAUUAGAUACCCUGGUAGUCCACGCCCUAAACGAUGCAUAUUUGGUGUAGGUCAUUCAGUUGAUCUGUGCCGGAGCUAACGCGUUAAAUAUGCCGCCUGGGGAGUACAGUCGCAAGGCUG